AUUGAACGCUGGCGGCAUGCUUUACACAUGCAAGUCGAACGGCAGCGGGGAGGAGCUUGCUUCUCUGCCGGCGAGCGGCGAACGGGUGAGUAAUACAUCGGAACGUGUCGAGAAGAGGGGGAUAACCACCCGAAAGGGUGGCUAAUACCGCAUAAAUUCUGAGGAAGAAAGCUGGGGACCUAGGAAUAGGCCUAGCGCUUUUUGAGCGGCCGAUGUCGGAUUAGCUAGUUGGUGAGGUAAAGGCUCACCAAGGCGAAGAUCUGUAGCGGGUCUGAGAGGAUGAUCCGCCACACUGGGACUGAGACACGGCCCAGACUCCUACGGGAGGCAGCAGUGGGGAAUUUUGGACAAUGGGGGCAACCCUGAUCCAGCCAUGCCGCGUGUAUGAAGAAGGCCUUAGGGUUGUAAAGUACUUUUGUUAGGGAAGAAAAGUCAGCUGUGAAUAAUGGCUGAUACUGACGGUACCUAAAGAAUAAGCACCGGCUAACUACGUG
Molecule: ribosomal RNA, 494 nt
Filed under: uncultured bacterium
Lineage: Bacteria
Description: partial 16S ribosomal RNA
Rfam family: Bacterial small subunit ribosomal RNA
Source: RNAcentral